AUGAGCCACACACCCGAAUGAGCACAGAGCCAAGAACUCUGGAACUUGUUAAAAUAAGAAGAAUCCUCAGCAUCAACGCAAGUGUUAGAAAAUGCCUCACAGAAAAGAAAUCCAGUCACACUGGUGAAAGAGCGACGUUGACGGCUUAAAGAUACAAUUUGGUUCUGGAUAAAAAUAAAUAUACAUUUGUUUUUUGUAAAGUGCUUCUUGGUUAGAUUCGGCUUCAAAAUAUUUGCAUUUUUCAGAGGUGGUAACUGGGGAAACUGUAACACUGCUCAAAAAUCAUUUCCUACAUGCCUGCUCCACAGCGCAGACUGCCAUUCCUCCCAGCGCGAAUGCCGUGAAACGCUUCACGUCCUCCGAUCUCGCCCUGUAUCCUUUCUCUCUGUAAGAUGAAAAUGGGAAAAGUGUAUAUUUUUUUCAAACACUUUCUCCGUUUCCCCAGUUGCCAUCUCUGAAAAAUUCGAACUGUUUGAAGAUAGAAAAAAGAUGAGCAUGUUUUUAGAAGGCAUUUAAUUGCCUAGCACUAACCUACCUGGCCUCGGCUCCUUUGUGUGUGUGAUGUGUGUAAGUGUGUGUAUGUGUGUGUGCAGGGGAAAGUAAGGGGGCGGGGCAGGGGGAGGAGUGAGGGGCGGGGAAUCACUGCGAUUGCGGGGGGCUUCCUAGUGGCGAGGACCUUCCUCCAGCACCCCGGGUCUGGCGUGAGAUCCCUCCGGACCUCCAGCUGAAGCCCGCCAGCGCGCGCGGCCGGGAGCGAGGAUGGAGAGGCUGGUGUUCAGGAGGCUCUUCUGUCAUCUGUUCUCCUGCAAACUGAUCUGGUUCUUGUCAGCUCUGAUACUAUGCGAGGCACAAGGUAAAGAUACUCCAUUGCCCUGCUUGGAAUCCAGGAAACACAAUUUCUAGAGUGGAGCCAUUUGGCCACUAUUGUUUGUGCUGU
Molecule: long non-coding RNA, 937 nt
Filed under: Camelus dromedarius (Arabian camel)
Lineage: Eukaryota; Metazoa; Chordata; Mammalia; Artiodactyla; Camelidae
Description: lncRNA (ENSCDRG00005015069.1)
Source: RNAcentral